AGUGAACGUUGGCGGCGUGGAUUAGGCAUGCAAGUCGAGCGAGAACCGUAGCAAUACGGGGACAGCGGCGAAAGGGACAGUAAUGUGUAGGUACCUACCUCCGGGUUCGGGAUAGCUGCGGGAAACUGCAGGUAAUACCGAAUAACGUCUCCGGACCAAAGGUGUGAUUCCACCUGGAGAGGGGCCUGCAUCCUAUUAGCUUGUUGGCGGGGUAACGGCCCACCAAGGCGACGAUGGGUAGCGGGUGUGAGAGCACGACCCGCGUCGUUGGGACUGAGACACUGCCCAGACACCUACGGGUGGCUGCAGUCGAGGAUCUUCGGCAAUGGGCGCAAGCCUGACCGAGCGACGCCGCGUGCGGGAUGAAGGCCUUCGGGUUGUAAACCGCUGUCGUAGAGGAGGAAGUGCAGGGGAGUUCUCCCCCCUGUUUGACCUAUUCUAGGAGGAAGGACGGGCUAAGUUCGUGCCAGCCGCCGCCGUAA
This 482-nucleotide ribosomal RNA is filed under the name uncultured bacterium. RNAcentral describes it as "partial 16S ribosomal RNA". It matches the Rfam family "Bacterial small subunit ribosomal RNA", at positions 28 to 523 of the family's 1533-position model. The record is from RNAcentral.